This 450-nucleotide ribosomal RNA is filed under the name uncultured bacterium. RNAcentral describes it as "partial 16S ribosomal RNA". It matches the Rfam family "Bacterial small subunit ribosomal RNA", at positions 354 to 796 of the family's 1533-position model. The record is from RNAcentral.
GUGGGGAAUUUUGGACAAUGGGCGAAAGCCUGAUCCAGCCAUGCCGCGUGCAGGAUGAAGGCCUUCGGGUUGUAAACUGCUUUUGUACGGAACGAAAAGACUCUGGUUAAUACCUGGGGUCCAUGACGGUACCGUAAGAAUAAGCACCGGCUAACUACGUGCCAGCAGCCGCGGUAAUACGUAGGGUGCAAGCGUUAAUCGGAAUUACUGGGCGUAAAGCGUGCGCAGGCGGUUAUAUACGACAGAUGUGAAAUCCCCGGGCUCAACCUGGGAACUGCAUUUGUGACUGUAUAGCUAGAGUACGGCAGAGGGGGAUGGAAUUCCGCGUGUAGCAGUGAAAUGCGUAGAUAUGCGGAGGAACACCGAUGGCGAAGGCAAUCCCCUGGGCCUGCACUGACGCUCAUGCACGAAAGCGUGGGGAGCAAACAGGAUUAGAAACCCUGGUAGUCC